UCCGAUUGAUCCCGUCGGACCUUACUGCUAUCGAGAUGGGACUAACCCAGGCCAGUCGAACGACCCGGACUAUGGCGGGAAGUGGCGCACUGCUCAGUAACACGUAGCUAACCUAACCUCAAGACGGAAAUAACCCCGGGAAACUGGGGUCAAUGUCCGAUAGAUGUGAAUUCCUGGAAUGGUGUCACAUCCAAACGUCAACACACCAUGUUGUGCGAACGCUUGAGGAUGGGGCUGCGGCCGAUCAGGCUGUUGGUGGGGUAAUGGCCCACCAAACCUUUGACCGGUAUGGGCCAUGAGAGUGGUAGCCCAGAGAUGGACACCGAGACAAGGGUCCAGGCCCUACGGGGCGCAGCCGGUACGAAACCUCCACAAUGCACGCAAGUGCGAUGGGGUUAUCUCGAGUGCUAUCUGAAAAAGGUAGCUUUUCCAUGGUCUAAAUAGCCGUGGGAAUAAGGGGGGGGCAAGACUGGUGUCAGCCGCCGCGGUAACACCAGCCCCCCGAGUGGUAGGGAUGUUUAUUUGGCCUAAAGCGUCCGUAGCCGGCUAAGUAAAUUUCUCGUUAAAUCCAACGUCCUAAGCGUCGGGCUGCGAGAAAGACUGCUUAGCUAGAGGGUGGGAGAGGUCAGCGGUAUUCCUGGGGUAGGGGCGAAAUCCAUUGAACCCAGGAGGACCACCAGUGGCGAAGGCUGCUGACUAGAACACGCCUGACGGUGAGGGACGAAAGCUGGGGUAGCGAAUCGGAUUAGAUACCCGAGUAGUCCCAGCCGUAAACGAUGCAGACUAGGUGUUGGGUUGGCCACGCGCCGACUCAGUGCCACAGGGAAGCCAUUAAGUCUGCCGCCUGGGAAGUACGGCCGCAAGGCUGAAACUUAAAGGAAUUGGCGGGGGAGCACCACCAGGCGUGAAGCCUGCGGUUUAAUUGGAGUCAACGCCGGGAACCUUACCGGGAGCGACAGCAGAGUGAAGGCCAGGCUAAAGGUCUUGCCAGACGAGCUGAGAGGAGGUGCAUGGCCGUCGCCAGUUCGUGCCGUGAGGUGUCCUCUUAAGUGAGGUAACGAACGAACCCGCGCCGCAUGUUGCUAACAAGUCCUAAAGGGAUGUUGAGCACUCUUGCGGGACCGCAGCCGACAAGGCUGAGGAAGGUGCGGGCAACGGCAGGUCAGUAUGCCCCGAAUCUCCCGGGCCACACGCGGGCUGCAAUGGUAGAGACAGAGGGCUGCAACCCCGAAAGGGGAAGCCAAUCCCUAAACUCUACCUCAGUUGGGAUUGAGGGCUGCAACCC
RNAcentral lists this ribosomal RNA (1285 nucleotides) under metagenome. RNAcentral describes it as "bacterial SSU rRNA". It matches the Rfam family "Archaeal small subunit ribosomal RNA", at positions 1 to 1269 of the family's 1478-position model. The record is from RNAcentral.